This 497-nucleotide ribosomal RNA is filed under the name uncultured bacterium. RNAcentral describes it as "partial 16S ribosomal RNA". It matches the Rfam family "Bacterial small subunit ribosomal RNA", at positions 28 to 507 of the family's 1533-position model. The record is from RNAcentral.
GAUGAACGCUGGCGGCGUGCCUAAUACAUGCAAGUCGAGCGAACAGACGAGGAGCUUGCUCCUCUGACGUUGGCGGCGGACGGGUGAGUACCACGUGGAUAACCUACCUAUCAGACUGGGAUAACUUCGGGAAACCGGAGCUAAUACCGGAUAAUAUAUUGAACCGCAUGGUUCAAUAGUGAAAGACGGUUUUGCUGUCACUUAUAGAUGGCUCCGCGCCGCAUUAGCUAGUUGGUAAGGUAACGGCUUACCAAGGCAACGAUGCGUAGCCGACCUGAGAGGGUGAUCGGCCACACUGGAACUGAGACACGGUCCAGACUCCUACGGGAGGCAGCAGUAGGGAAUCUUCCGCAAUGGGCGAAAGCCUGACGGAGCAACGCCGCGUGAGUGAUGAAGGUCUUCGGAUCGUAAAACUCUGUUAUUAGGGAAGAACAAAUGUGUAAGUAACUAUGCACGUCUUGACGGUACCUAAUCAGAAAGCCACGGCUAACUACGUG